AUAUUUUUUAAAUCUGUUCUUAUCAGUUUAAUAUCUGACACGUCCCCUAUCUGGGGACCAUAUAUUAAAUAGAUUUUUGGAACAGGGAGAUGGAAUAGGGGCUUGCUCCGUCCACUCCACGCAUCGACCUGGUAUUGCAGUACCUCCAGGAACGGUGCACCCCCU
Oncorhynchus kisutch (coho salmon) is the source of this 165-nucleotide small nuclear RNA. Its record names the gene U2. It matches the Rfam family "U2 spliceosomal RNA". From Rfam's summary of the family: U2 is a small nuclear RNA (snRNA) component of the spliceosome (involved in pre-mRNA splicing). Lineage: Eukaryota; Metazoa; Chordata; Actinopteri; Salmoniformes; Salmonidae. The record is from Ensembl.